RNAcentral lists this unclassified non-coding RNA (266 nucleotides) under uncultured fungus. Its description in RNAcentral is "sequence contains ITS1". Lineage: Eukaryota; Fungi. The record is from RNAcentral.
UUGAUUAUUUGUUUUGUGCUCAGACAUCACCGUUACUGGAGUUCAUAGGUCCUCUGACGGGCACGGGCCGGCCGGAGCCGGCGGUGGGUCGCCCCACGGGCCCGCCGAAGCAACAGAGGUAGGUAGACAUGGGUUGGAGGUUCGGGCCACGGGGACCCUCGCUCGGUAAUGAUCCUUCCGCAGGUUCACCUGUUCAUGAUGGUUAGCAAAACAUUGUCCAGAGGGGAUGGGUGGGAGGUUGUGGAGGGUUUACUCACCUACGGAAA